RNAcentral lists this ribosomal RNA (281 nucleotides) under uncultured bacterium. RNAcentral describes it as "partial 16S ribosomal RNA". It matches the Rfam family "Bacterial small subunit ribosomal RNA", at positions 505 to 787 of the family's 1533-position model. The record is from RNAcentral.
GUGCCAGCCGCUGCGGUAAUACGUAGGGCGCAAGCGUUGUCCGGAAUUAUUGGGCGUAAAGAGCUCGUAGGCGGUUUGUCGCGUCUGCUGUGAAAGCCCGGGGCUCAACCCCGGGUCUGCAGUGGGUACGGGCAGACUAGAGUGCAGUAGGGGAGACUGGAAUUCCUGGUGUAGCGGUGAAAUGCGCAGAUAUCAGGAGGAACACCGAUGGCGAAGGCAGGUCUCUGGGCUGUACUGGACGCUGAGAGCGAAAGCAUGGGAGCGAACAGGAUUAGAUACCC